AGUUGAAUCAGAGGACGUUUUGCUUAGGGAUGUCAAUAGGUACAUAUAUCCGAAAUUUUAUCCGAACUCGAACCUGAACGGAGCAAAUUUAUUCGAUACUAAAUAGAUAUGGUUUCGGAUAUAAAUAUAAAAACAAAAAACCCACUGGAUAUGGAUUCGUAUAAAUUCAAUUCUCUGAACGGUUAUGAUCAAUUAGUUAAAAAUAUUUGAAAUAUAAAUGAAUGGUUAUGAUCAAUCUGUUAAAAAAUAGCACUUCUAUCCGUCUAUUUUAUAUUAAAAUUUAAAUUUGAGUUUAAAUCGUGAAAUAAAUUAAUUUUUGAUUUUUGAUAUUAAUUCUAUCCAUCUAUUUUACAUCAGAAUUUAAAUUUGAGUUUAAAUCGUGAAUUAAAUUUAAUUUCUGAUUUUUGAUAUCAAAAUUGAAUUAACAAUUAAAAUAUUUUAAUUAUAUAAUGGAUCAGAAUCAAAUUUUAAAUUUUGAAAUAAAUGUCAAUUAAAUUUUGAUGCUUUUAGUUUAAAACACUUACUUAAAUUUUAGAUUUAUUAGAAAUCGAAAAAUGUAUAAAAAUAUUUAAUAAAAUAUUUAAUAAAAUAUUUAAUAGAGAACAAUAUAGCAUAUUGUAGAUAAUUUCCAAUAAAAUAUAACAUAUAAAUUUAUAAAAUAUUUUAUUUUACAUUUUUGAAUAAAUAUGAUUUAUAAAUUUUUAUUGAUAUAAAAUAAUUGUUACGUGCAUUUGCACAUACAUUCAACUAAUAUAUAUACUAUAUAUAAAAGUACGUAUUUCAAAUUUCGGUCUAUCGACAGACCAAUUUCAAAAUUCCUCUUUUUUCAUACGCAAAAUAAAUAACGUAAUGAUAGUUUCUCGUUUUU
This 868-nucleotide long non-coding RNA is filed under the name Ananas comosus (pineapple). RNAcentral's name for it is "long non-coding RNA (ACOM_LNC028972)". Lineage: Eukaryota; Viridiplantae; Streptophyta; Magnoliopsida; Poales; Bromeliaceae. The record is from RNAcentral.